RNAcentral lists this ribosomal RNA (869 nucleotides) under Mycoplasmopsis californica. RNAcentral describes it as "bacterial SSU rRNA". It matches the Rfam family "Bacterial small subunit ribosomal RNA", at positions 516 to 1397 of the family's 1533-position model. The record is from RNAcentral. Lineage: Bacteria; Bacillati; Mycoplasmatota; Mycoplasmoidales; Metamycoplasmataceae.
CGCGGUAAUACAUAGGUUGCAAGCGUUAUCCGGAAUUAUUGGGCGUAAAGCGUCUGUAGGUUGUUUGUUAAGUCUGGCGUUAAAUUUUGGGGCUCAACCCCAAACCGCGUUGGAUACUGGCAAACUAGAGUUAUGUAGAGGUUAGCGGAAUUCCUUGUGAAGCGGUGAAAUGCGUAGAUAUAAGGAAGAACACCAACAUGGCGAAGGCAGCUAACUGGACAUAUACUGACACUGAGAGACGAAAGCGUGGGGAGCAAACAGGAUUAGAUACCCUGGUAGUCCACGCCCUAAACGUUGAUCAUUAGCUGAUGGGGAACUCAUCGGCGCAGCUAACGCAUUAAAUGAUCCGCCUGAGUAGUGCGUUCGCAAGAAUAAAACUUAAAGGAAUUGACGGGGACCCGCACAAGCGGUGGAGCAUGUGGUUUAAUUUGAAGAUACGCGUAGAACCUUACCCACUCUUGACAUCUUCUGCAAAGCUAUAGAGAUAUAGUGGAGGUUAACAGAAUGACAGAUGGUGCAUGGUUGUCGUCAGCUCGUGUCGUGAGAUGUUCGGUUAAGUCCUGCGACGAGCGCAACCCCUGUCCUUAGUUACUAACAUUUAGUUGAGCACUCUAAGGAGACUGCCUGAGUAAUCGGGAGGAAGGUGGGGACGACGUCAAAUCAUCAUGCCUCUUACGAGUGGGGCAACACACGUGCUACAAUGGCCAGUACAAAGUGAAGCAACCUGGUGACAGUGAGCAAACCACAAAAAACUGGUCUCAGUUCGGAUUGGAGUCUGCAACUCGACUCCAUGAAGUCGGAAUCGCUAGUAAUCGUAGAUCAGCUACGCUACGGUGAAUACGUUCUCGGGUCUUGUACACACCGCCCGU